Molecule: non-coding RNA, 110 nt
Organism: Acanthosepion pharaonis
Lineage: Eukaryota; Metazoa; Mollusca; Cephalopoda; Sepiida; Sepiidae
Source: the annotation of a GenBank genome assembly
ACAGCCACAUCACAUUGAGGCACCAGUUUCUAUAUGAUCACUAAAGUUAAGUAACAUUGAGCUUGGUCAGUAUCUAGAUGAGUGACCCCUUGGGAAUACCAGGUGUGGUA